RNAcentral lists this ribosomal RNA (251 nucleotides) under uncultured bacterium. RNAcentral's name for it is "partial 16S ribosomal RNA". It matches the Rfam family "Bacterial small subunit ribosomal RNA", at positions 524 to 774 of the family's 1533-position model. The record is from RNAcentral.
UACGUAGGGGGCAAGCGUUAUCCGGAUUUACUGGGUGUAAAGGGAGCGUAGACGGUUUUGUAAGUCUGAUGUGAAAACCCAUGGCUCAACCGUGGGAGUGCAUUGGAAACUAUAGGACUAGAGUGUCGGAGAGGUAAGUGGAAUUCCUAGUGUAGCGGUGAAAUGCGUAGAUAUUAGGAGGAACACCAGUGGCGAAGGCGGCUUACUGGACGAUGACUGACGUUGAGGCUCGAAAGCGUGGGGAGCAAACA